Long non-coding RNA from Oncorhynchus keta (chum salmon), 183 nucleotides. RefSeq lists it as uncharacterized. The transcript is spliced from 3 exons. NCBI's taxonomy places the organism in Eukaryota, Metazoa, Chordata, Actinopteri, Salmoniformes, Salmonidae. The record is from RefSeq and is a predicted model, not a curated record.
CUCAGGUAAACUAACCUCAAGUAAACUAAUGAUGACAGGCAAACUAACGUCAGGCAAACUAAACUCAUGUAAACUAACCUCAGGUAAACUAAUGAUGACAGGUAAACUAACCUCAGGUGAACAAAACUCAGGUAAACUAAUGAUGACAGGUAAACUAACCUCAGGUAAACUAAUGAUGACAGG